GGAGAUUUUCCGGAAGAAGGUGCCAGUUACCGGAUUUGGUGAUGGCCAUGGUUCUCUGUAACUAUCGAAGACUUGUUUGGUUUGAGAACAUAAUGCGGGCAGAUUAAAGAAGGGGCGUGCUUAUAUUAGGAAACAUCUUCUUCCUAAUAUGUUGUAUGUGCCAGUUAGCGGAUUUGGUGCUGGCCAUGGUUCUCUGUAACUAACGAAGACGUGUUUGGUUUGAGAACAUAAUGCGGGCAAAUUAAAGAAGGGGCGUGCUUAUAUUAGGAAAGAUCUUCUUCCUAAUAUAUUAUAUGUGUUCGUUAUUCCUAUUUUUCAGAGAAAAAAAAUUCAGGUUACGAAGUAGUUUAUCCAUUGCAUGUAACCCUAACUAAUCAGUUGUCCAGUAUGGAUCAACAGCGAGAACGCCACAGAAAAAUGGCUAUGGUUGUAGCGAUUAUUAUAUUACUGUUAGAAUACUACCGUUUUGUCCCUAUUAGAACACUUCGCAUGACGUCAUUCUUUAUUGGGGAUAAAUGGGUGGGCGAGAUGCUCGUUGCACACCCAAAAACGUUCAACAACAUAUUUCGCAUGACUAUGCCCACUUUUUUGGAUCUCCUUCACUAGCUACAUAUCAAUCACAACCUCUGAUAUUCUUUUCGAACUACUAUAAAGGAGGUGUUGGCAAUUACGUUGUACAUUCUAUCUCAGAACGAAUCAAUCAUGGGAGCGAUGGGGCAAUUACAACAUUCCUAAGAGAUAAUAAGCAGUUACUUCUCUGAAGGUCUAAGAGCACUAGUUAGCUUAGCAUCAAACAUAAUUAAGCAAGAAGAUCAACAUUCGACACAACUUCUGAAAAAAUUGCCAACGGCCCGCAUUACAUGUCAUUUUUCUUGAACUGUAUUGAGGCAAUUGACGGUACACACGUUGAUGUCUGACUCCCCAGCCAUGAGAAAGUGGCUUACAUUGGCUGUUGUGGGUCACCAACUCAGAAUGUGAUGGCUGUAUGGAGUCCCAUGAAUUUGACGCCCAGGAUGGCGAAGGUGCAGUGGAGAUGGCUUCUUUGAGUGAGCGUAUCACAGAUGCUAUAUGUGAACGCUGAUUGACCCCGUCUAAUUUAUUUUGCAUACUUUAUGUACCAUUCUUCUAACAAGCAUGAGGUGUGCACCUCAUUGAUGUAAUUUUUUUUUUUCUGUAAACAGUGAGAAGGCUUUCUUUUAAAAAGA
Molecule: long non-coding RNA, 1205 nt
Organism: Phalaenopsis equestris
Lineage: Eukaryota; Viridiplantae; Streptophyta; Magnoliopsida; Asparagales; Orchidaceae
Exons: 3
Source: RefSeq, a predicted model, not a curated record